RNAcentral lists this long non-coding RNA (719 nucleotides) under Hordeum vulgare. RNAcentral describes it as "long non-coding RNA (HVUL_LNC001731)". Lineage: Eukaryota; Viridiplantae; Streptophyta; Magnoliopsida; Poales; Poaceae. The record is from RNAcentral.
AGCUGGUACAGUUCACCAUCCCAGCAUACUUGAUAGUGCAAAUGACAUACGACUAUCACAACGUAAAGUUUUUUUACCAGUACUAAAUACUGCCCAUCGGCUUAAGGCCAACUUAUAAAGAUAAGUUUCAUGGUGGAUUAGAGACCACUCGGUAAUUCAAAAUCCAGAAGAAAAAAACACAUAUAACAGGUAGCCGGCAAAGCAAAUAAUAAAGCUGAAAUAUCCCCUUAUAUUUCUUCGAGUGAAGUCUCGCCUUUAAUCAUCCAUCCAUAUGUAGUCAUAAACAAUUGAUAAAAGGAGCAGUAUGCUUAGGGAAAAUAUUUUUUCUGUGCACAACACUCUAAUAAACACAGUACAGGUUGAUUAAAAAUUAGGCAUCUAUAUAAAGUUCUUGUUUGGUUCUACCCGAAUGCUGCUAAAUGUGAUGGUGGAGUUGCUGCUUGUGAAGAUGCCUUUUCACUCAUCGACUUUACCCACUCACUCCUUCAGCUCCUAAUCCUGCCGGUUUGAGCCACUACUUUGCCUAAUAUUCUCCUACCAAAAGGAACAACAUAUUCACGCAUCCGUUCAGUCAGUUAUGAAAAUUAUGAUAAGCAGGAGAGGCUCGACUAUGAAUCAAUCGAUCCAUGCCCCCUUACCGAGGUGGAACUCAUGGUGAUAUGAGAGACUCAUCAUCAUCAAUGUCUCCGCACAGCCACAAUGAGGCAGGUUCAUACAUC